AUUGAACGCUGGCGGCAGGCCUAACACAUGCAAGUCGAGCGGUAACACAGGGAGCUUGCUCCUGGGUGACGAGCGGCGGACGGGUGAGUAAUGUCUGGGAAACUGCCUGAUGGAGGGGGAUAACUACUGGAAACGGUAGCUAAUACCGCAUAACGUCGCAAGACCAAAGAGGGGGACCUUCGGGCCUCUUGCCAUCAGAUGUGCCCAGAUGGGAUUAGCUAGUAGGUGGGGUAACGGCUCACCUAGGCGACGAUCCCUAGCUGGUCUGAGAGGAUGACCGGCCACAAUGGAACUGCGGCGCGGUCCAGACUCCUACGGGAGGCAGCAGUGGGGAAUAUUGCACAAUGGGCGCAAGCCUGAUGCAGCCAUGCCGCGUGUAUGAAGAAGGCCUUCGGGUUGUAAAGUACUUUCAGCGGGGAGGAAGGCGUUGUGGUUAAUAACCACAGCGAUUGACGUUACCCGCAGAAGAAGCACCGGCUAACUCCGUGCCAGCCGCCGCAGUAA
RNAcentral lists this ribosomal RNA (504 nucleotides) under uncultured bacterium. RNAcentral's name for it is "partial 16S ribosomal RNA". It matches the Rfam family "Bacterial small subunit ribosomal RNA", at positions 29 to 523 of the family's 1533-position model. The record is from RNAcentral.